RNAcentral lists this ribosomal RNA (267 nucleotides) under uncultured bacterium. RNAcentral describes it as "partial 16S ribosomal RNA". It matches the Rfam family "Bacterial small subunit ribosomal RNA", at positions 793 to 1055 of the family's 1533-position model. The record is from RNAcentral.
GUCCUAGCCGUAAACGAUGGGCACUAAGUAGGGGGGCUCCGAAGGCCUCCUUGCCGGAGCAAAUGUGUUAAGUGCCCCGCCUGGGGAGUAUGGUCGCAAGGCUGAAACUCAAAGGAAUUGACGGGGGCUCACACAAGCGGUGGAGCAUGUUGUUUAAUUCGAUGCAACGCGAAGAACCUUACCUGGGCUUGACAUGUAGGUGGUACUGAACCGAAAGGGGAGGGACCCUCUUUGAGGGAGCCUACACAGGUAUUGCAUGGCUGUCGU